UGCAACUCGACUACAUGAAGCUGGAAUCGCUAGUAAUCGCGAAUCAGAAUGUCGCGGUGAAUACGUUCCCGGGUCUUGUACACACCGCCCGUCACACCAUGGGAGUCAGUAACGCCCGAAGCCGGUGACCCAACCAAUUCAGGAGGGAGCCGUCGAAGGUGGGACCGAUAACUGGGGUGAAGUCGUAACAAGGUAGC
RNAcentral lists this ribosomal RNA (197 nucleotides) under uncultured bacterium. Its description in RNAcentral is "partial 16S ribosomal RNA". It matches the Rfam family "Bacterial small subunit ribosomal RNA", at positions 1306 to 1500 of the family's 1533-position model. The record is from RNAcentral.